This 253-nucleotide ribosomal RNA is filed under the name uncultured Caryophanaceae bacterium. RNAcentral's name for it is "uncultured Planococcaceae bacterium partial 16S ribosomal RNA". It matches the Rfam family "Bacterial small subunit ribosomal RNA", at positions 524 to 776 of the family's 1533-position model. Lineage: Bacteria; Bacillati; Bacillota; Bacilli; Caryophanales; Caryophanaceae. The record is from RNAcentral.
UACGUAGGUGGCAAGCGUUGUCCGGAUUUAUUGGGCGUAAAGCGCGCGCAGGUGGUUCCUUAAGUCUGAUGUGAAAGCCCACGGCUCAACCGUGGAGGGUCAUUGGAAACUGGGGGACUUGAGUGCAGAAGAGGAUAGUGGAAUUCCAAGUGUAGCGGUGAAAUGCGUAGAGAUAUGGAGGAACACCAGUGGCGAAGGCGACUAUCUGGUCUGUAACUGACACUGAGGCGCGAAAGCGUGGGGAGCAAACAGG